AUUGAACGCUGGCGGCAGGCCCAACACAUGCAAGUCGAACGAGUGGCGGACGGGUGAGUAAUGUCUGGGAAACUGCCUGAUGGAGGGGGAUAACUACUGGAAACGGUAGCUAAUACCCCCUAGCAUCGCAUGUGCCCAGAUGGGAUUUGCUAGUAGUUGGGGUAAAGGCUCACCUAGGCGACGCGCCCUAGCUGGUCUGAGAGGAUGAGCGGCCACACUGGAACUGAGACACGGUCCAGACUCCUACGGAGGGAAGCAUUGGGGAAUAGUGCACAAUGGGCGAAAGCCUGAUGCAGCCAUGCCGCGUGUAUGAAGAAGGCCUUCGGGUUGUAAAGUACUUUCAGCGGGGAGGCGUUACCCGCAGAAGAAGCACCGGCUAACUCCGUGCCAGCAGCCGCGGUAAUAC
RNAcentral lists this ribosomal RNA (406 nucleotides) under uncultured bacterium. Its description in RNAcentral is "partial 16S ribosomal RNA". It matches the Rfam family "Bacterial small subunit ribosomal RNA", at positions 30 to 526 of the family's 1533-position model. The record is from RNAcentral.